Molecule: long non-coding RNA, 100 nt
Organism: Sapajus apella (tufted capuchin)
Lineage: Eukaryota; Metazoa; Chordata; Mammalia; Primates; Cebidae
Exons: 3
Source: RefSeq, a predicted model, not a curated record
CUUGAAUCAUCUCAAAACCAUCUCCCCAACCCACCCCAUCCGUGGAAAAACUGUGUUCUAUGAAACUGGUCCCUGGUGCCAAAAGCAUUUAGGGGUUGCU